AUGGCAAAUACUCAAACCCUAGCACAAUCACAAAAUCCCCAUAUAGUCAUGCUACCAACACCCGGCAUGGGUCACUUAAUCCCUCUCGUUGAAUUCGCCAAACAACUCAUUUUACAACACGACUUCUCUAUAACACUCAUCCUCCCUACUGAUGGCCCCAUCUCGAAAUCUCAAAACACUUUCCUCAACACCCUUCCCUCAGGCAUCAAUUAUCUCCUUCUCCCUCCUGUUAACUUCGAUGAUUUAUCAGAUGAUGUUCUUAUGGAAACGCGUAUUUCCCUUACUAUAACUCGUUCUCUUUCAUCUCUACGUGAGGUUUUUAAGUCUGUAGUCGAAUCUCACAGAGUAGUGGCCUUUGUGGUUGAUUUAUUUGGUACUGAUGCAUUUGAUUUAGCAAAUGAGCUCAAUGUGUCACCUUAUAUGUUCUACACUACCACGGCUACGAUGUUGUCUCUAGAUUUGUUUUUUCCGGAGCUUGAUGAAAUUGUUUGUUGUGAGUAUAAAGAUUUACAAGAGCCUGUUCGUAUUCCAGGAUGCAGACCUAUACAUGGGAAGGAUCUUCCGGACCCACUUCACAAUAGAAAAGAUGAUGCAUACAAAUGGGUUCUUCACCAUACUAAGAGGUUCAAAAUGGCUCAUGGCAUUAUCUUAAACAGCUUCAUUGAUUUGGAACCUGAAACAAUUAAAUAUCUACAAGAGGCAUAUAACAAUAAGCCAAAAAUUUACUCAAUUGGACCACUUAUAUUAAUGGAUAAAAAAAUUGAUGAUGACGUGUCACAAUGUUUGACAUGGCUUGAUAAGCAGCCACGUGGAUCAGUAAUCUACAUUUCAUUUGGGAGUGGUGGGACCCUCUCACAUGAACAAAUAAUUGAACUGGCAAUAGGAUUAGAAAUGAGUGGACAAAGAUUUUUAUUGGUAAUUAGAUGUCCAAAUGAUAGAAUUCCAAAUGGCACUUAUUUCAAUAACCAAAAUUCAACUAACCCUCUUGAUUUUUUACCUAUUGGGUUCUUCGAAAGAACCAAAGGGUUAGGUCUUGUGUUGCCUAAUUGGGCACCACAAGUUCAAGUUCUUAGCCAUGUGUCGGUUGGUGGAUUUCUGACUCAUUGUGGGUGGAACUCGAUUCUGGAGAGUGUGGUUUGUGGCGUUCCACUUAUUGCUUGGCCUCUCUUUGCAGAACAAAGAACGAACGCGGUGAUGUUAACUGAGGAUUUAAAAGUUGCCUAAGGCCGAAAAUUCGUGACAAUGGUAUCGUUGGGCGAUCGGAAAUUAGUGAAGUGGUGAAAGAAUUGAUGGAAGGUGAAGAGGGAAAAGAAGUGUGUAUUAGAAUGAAAGAGCUAAAAGAUGCAGCAAAAAAGGUGUUGAGUGAAGAUGGCUCUUCAACUAAAGCACUAGAUGAACUUGCUUUUGAGUUGAAAAAAUGUGUCACAUGAUUA
RNA transcript from Solanum verrucosum, 1433 nucleotides. It is a transcript of the gene named hydroquinone glucosyltransferase-like, with no coding region annotated. Lineage: Eukaryota; Viridiplantae; Streptophyta; Magnoliopsida; Solanales; Solanaceae. The record is from RefSeq and is a predicted model, not a curated record. The transcript has 2 exons.